Molecule: ribosomal RNA, 293 nt
Filed under: uncultured bacterium
Lineage: Bacteria
Description: partial 16S ribosomal RNA
Rfam family: Bacterial small subunit ribosomal RNA
Source: RNAcentral
GUGCCAGCAGCCGCGGUAAUACGAGAGGUGCAAGCGUUAUUCGGAAUUAUUGGGCGUAAAGGGUGCGUAGGCGGUAUGAUAAGUCUGUUGUUAAAUAUCCUGGCUCAACCAGGAAAAUGCGAUGGAAACUAUCGUUCUAGAGGGUGAGAGAGAGAAGUGGAAUUCCAGGAGUUAGCGGUCAAAUGCGUAGAUCUCUGGAGGAACACCGAUGGCGAAGGCAGCUUCUUGGCUCAUUUCUGACGCUGAGGCACGAAAGCGUGGGGAGCAAACAGGAUUAGAUACCCUCGUAGUCC